UCGGUACCAAUUAUAGCCAAAUUCACCAACUUAGUCUUCAACUUUAUUCUUCCCUUUGUCUAACCUCGAGUUUCGUACUUCUUGAUCUAAAAUAGUAAAUUUAACUUAUUUAAUAAUCACAUUCAUCAAAAUAGCCCUCGACUAUAACUUUUUCAAAAUUACAAUUUUGCCCCUAAACUUUUACAUAAUUACAUUUUUGCCCCAAGGCUCGGAAAUUAAACUUCAUCUCUUAUUCUUAUGUUUUAUAACAUUCUGAACAUUUUUCCCUUCUAUGGCAACAUCAAAUUCUAAUUUAAUCCCUUAUCAAUACUAAUUUUAUUUUUGCAUUCUAACUCUAUAUUCUCUCUUAAUUCUUACUAUAAACUCAGUUUAAUUCUUCAAUUUCCCCAUAAAUCCCUAAUUUCGGGAUUCUUUCAAUUUAAUUCCUAUCAAUUCAAAACUUAUGUUUUAUUUUACAAAUCAACCUUUUACUAACUUUUAACUUAAAAUUCAAUCAUUUUAACAUCUAAUUCAUCAAUUAAUUCAACAUGAACAACAUCUAAUAACCUACUAACUUCCAAAAUUUCCACUUAAAUCAAGUAGUAUUUUGCUCUAGGAUUCCAAAAAUAUCAAAACCAUAAGAAAAAGGGACUAAAUUGACUUACCAAUUGAAUUUAGAAGUUUUGAAACCCCUGAACCGUCGCUCUUUCUUUUUCUUCUUUCUCCCUUCUCUGUUUCGUUUUACUCUCUGUUUCUUUCUUUCUCAUUUCUAUUCUUUCUUUUGUUAUAUAUAUAUAAUAUAAUAUAAUAUAAUAUAAUAUAAAAUAUUAAUAAUAAUCAUUACUUACAUAUAUAUAAUAUAUAUAUAUAUAUUAACUAGAAUAUCUCAGAUAUUUCUUUCAUUAUGCCGCCUCACCUUUAGAAAAAGGCAUAAUUGCCUAUUUGGUCCUUUUAACUUUUCUUUAAUCUAUAAUUAAACUUUUAUCCCUAUUGCAAUUUAAUCCUUUUUCAUAAUUAACUAUCGAAACAUUAAAAUUUCUUAACAAAACUUUAAUAUUAUCCUAUUGACACUCCGUAAAUAUUUAUAAAAAUAUUUACGGCUCAGUUUA
RNAcentral lists this long non-coding RNA (1088 nucleotides) under Gossypium barbadense (sea-island cotton). RNAcentral describes it as "long non-coding RNA (GBAR_LNC002783)". The record is from RNAcentral. Lineage: Eukaryota; Viridiplantae; Streptophyta; Magnoliopsida; Malvales; Malvaceae.